Non-coding RNA from Meleagris gallopavo (turkey), 903 nucleotides. NCBI's taxonomy places the organism in Eukaryota, Metazoa, Chordata, Aves, Galliformes, Phasianidae. The record is from RefSeq and is a predicted model, not a curated record.
GAUUGAUAAGCUAGCUCACUGUACUUCAGCCUCCAUGAACAGUUUAUGAAACUUGAUCAUCCAGUACCUGACAUUACUUAAACUACCUCAUGUUUCGAACAUUCCAUUAGCUUUCUGCCAAGCCUUGUGAAGGAUACAGUGCAAGACCUACUUCCCAGUGAAUGAGAGGUUAAAAUUUGACCUGUUUUCACCUCCUUCUGCACAAAGUAAGGGGUAUAAGAAUGGCAUGGAAAAGUAUACGGGGAGAGUGCUUUUGGGAAGAUUGAACAAAUGACCCAUGGUGCUGAGACUUUCUGGGCCUGUCACGAUCACAACUCCUGCUGCCUACUUUAUAUGGGGAUACAUAUGGGAUGGGGAGCCUGGCAAUGAGUGCUGCUCAAGGAAGAGAGGUGACAAGGAGAGGAAAAGGAGAAGUGAUGAGAUGAUGGUGCUUCACAUCCCAGAGGGAGUUUCGUUUGACAGAUAAGCACCCUGAGUCAUGAGAUGAAUACGUGCCUAAACCAUGUGGAGGUUGAAGGAAAUCCUAUCAAAGUUUUCUGUUGCGGUUGAACGUGCUGACUCAAAGCACUUAGUACAUGAACUACUGGAGAGAAAAUGUGGCUGGCAAUAAGUAAUAUGGUGGGCCAGGUGGAAAUCAGAAGACAGAAAUUAUUUUUCACAUGAACGGGAAGCAAUCUUGAUAUGUGAAAAUGAAAGUUGUUUCAAUGAAGAGGCUGGAUUUGGCUUUACUCCAUGUAGUUAUUUGAAGACUGUUGAGAAAUGCAAAUCGUGAUUUAUUUUUACUGUGCUAUGUGAUGAGAAUCAAACUUUAGAGGCAGUGAGACAAGUUUUGGACUCCAUCCAUAAACUAACUAAACUAAUUAAAAAAAAAAAUCCACAUAACUGAUGUGGAUUAUUUUUAAA